This 304-nucleotide ribosomal RNA is filed under the name uncultured bacterium. RNAcentral describes it as "partial 16S ribosomal RNA". It matches the Rfam family "Bacterial small subunit ribosomal RNA", at positions 506 to 807 of the family's 1533-position model. The record is from RNAcentral.
CAGCAGCCGCCGCGGGAAAACAGAGGGUGCGAGCGUUAAUCGGAUUUACUGGGCGUAAAGCGUGCGUAGGCGGCUUUUUAAGUCGGAUGUGAAAUCCCUGAGCUUAACUUAGGAAUUGCAUUCGAUACUGGGAAGCUAGAGUAUGGGAGAGGAUGGUAGAAUUCCAGGUGUAGCGGUGAAAUGCGUAGAGAUCUGGAGGAAUACCGAUGGCGAAGGCAGCCAUCUGGCCUAAUACUGACGCUGAGGUACGAAAGCAUGGGGAGCAAACAGGAUUAGAUACCCCUGUAGUCCCUGUCUCUUAUAC